This 236-nucleotide ribosomal RNA is filed under the name uncultured bacterium. RNAcentral describes it as "partial 16S ribosomal RNA". It matches the Rfam family "Bacterial small subunit ribosomal RNA", at positions 118 to 347 of the family's 1533-position model. The record is from RNAcentral.
UGAGCAAUCUGCCCUUCUCAUCGGAAUAAGCGUUGGAAACGACGUCUAAUGCCGAAUACGACCUCCUUUCGCAUGAUCGGAGGUGGAAAGCUCCGGCGGAGAAGGAUGAGCUCGCGGCCUAUCAGCUAGUUGGUGUGGGUAAUGGCCCACCAAGGCGACGACGGGUAGCCGGCCUGAGGAGGGUCGACCGGCCACACGUGGGACUGAGACACGGCCAGACCUCCGUACGGGAGCAG